RNAcentral lists this long non-coding RNA (975 nucleotides) under Gossypium barbadense (sea-island cotton). Its description in RNAcentral is "long non-coding RNA (GBAR_LNC021112)". The record is from RNAcentral. Lineage: Eukaryota; Viridiplantae; Streptophyta; Magnoliopsida; Malvales; Malvaceae.
CGGACUUUAUCAUUACUUCUGACAUUUGCUCAUGUUGUAGAUGAAAGGUUUGCAUGAAAUCCAUGGUUUAAAUUCUCUGCAGCUAUGCCAGUAAAGAUGGAAAUAUACCUAAAUGAGCAUUUGGAACUUAAGGAGCAACGACUGUGAUCGAACUUUUUAUCGAUCUAGUUAGUUUCAAGUCUCAUGAUGCUUUCGUUUCUUACUUCUGCAAAUGUGAAUACUGAAAAACAGUAGUCUUACAUGUAGUAAUGCCUUGAAAGAUGCUGUUUUGUGCAAAAUUCAAUGCACAUUCCAUCAUGUUUUCAUAUUUUUUAAAGAAUGUUUGAUUUGCUGCCAUUUGUGUUCCUUCUGCAGACUGCCAUUGAAUUUCACUGCUGCACUUGGAAUUAUUUUAAAGGUAAGCCAAGAAGCAUGCCAAAACUCAUGAAAACGUUACCCCCCAGUUUAGUUGAUUCAUUUAUGGAACUUUCAAGAGGGUGUUAGGUGGAUGAAAGGGUUUGGAUUUUAGCAUUUGUAAUUGUUUUUUUUUCUCAGAUUUCGAUUUACAUGUGUAUACAUAUGAAAAAAAACUCAAGGUUCAAGGAUGAUGCACAAAAAUUAAAAAAAUAAUGCUGAGUACGAGAAUUUGCAUAGCACAUGGCAUGGCAUGAAGCCAAGAACCAUUCUUGCUUUCGCACUUCCCAGCCGAAAGCACCCCCAUUUCAUUGCAUUUCAUAUAAUAUUGGUGGAAUAAGAGAGAUAAUAUUAACAGUUAAAUUGCAUUUUGUUCGUUAUACUCAAAAGAUUGAUAAAUUUGUGUUGUAUUUUUCAUUAGAAGGUAAUUUAUUUUUCUGAUAAAAUUUUAUUCAUUUUUGCUGUUAAAUUGACUUUUGAACAUCAAAAUGAGGUUCAUGUGGCAUGUUACGUGUAAUUGUUUGGUUAUUUUGUCAGCCACACAAGAUGAAAUUUCUAUUAGAAAUGAUAAGUUUACUUUUU